GGGCACGGGGGGCCUACGGGAGGCAGCAGUGGGGAAUAUUGCACAAUGGGCGAAAGCCUGAUGCAGCAACGCCGCGUGCGGGAUGACGGCCUUCGGGUUGUAAACCGCUUUCGCCUGUGACGAAGCGUGAGUGACGGUAAUGGGUAAAGAAGCACCGGCUAACUACGUGCCAGCAGCCGCGGUAAUAAU
Molecule: ribosomal RNA, 189 nt
Filed under: Propionibacterium sp. 14(27-11)
Lineage: Bacteria; Bacillati; Actinomycetota; Actinomycetes; Propionibacteriales; Propionibacteriaceae
Description: partial 16S ribosomal RNA
Rfam family: Bacterial small subunit ribosomal RNA
Source: RNAcentral